This 253-nucleotide ribosomal RNA is filed under the name bacterium. Its description in RNAcentral is "partial 16S ribosomal RNA". It matches the Rfam family "Bacterial small subunit ribosomal RNA", at positions 524 to 776 of the family's 1533-position model. RNAcentral also lists the same sequence under 1 other name. The record is from RNAcentral.
UACAGAGGGUGCAAGCGUUGUUCGGAAUUACUGGGCGUAAAGCGAGCGUAGUCGGUAUUGAGAGUCAUAGGUGAAAUCCCAGGGCUUAACCCUGGAACUGCCCGUGAGACCUCAGUACUAGAGUGUGAGAGGGGAUAGUGGAAUACCAAGUGUAGCGGUGAAAUGCGUAGAGAUUUGGUGGAACACCGGUGGCGAAGGCGGCUAUCUGGCUCACAACUGACGAUCAGGCUCGAAAGCGUGGGGAGCAAACAGG